CCGGGAAGAGCUCAAAUUUGAAAUCUGGCGUCCUCAGGGCGUCCGAGUUGUAAUCUAUAGAGGCGUUUUCCGUGCCGGACCGUGUCCAAGUUCCUUGGAACAGGAUAUCAAAGAGGGUGACAAUCCCGUACUUGACACGACGACCGGUGCUCUGUGAUACGUCUUCUACGAGUCGAGUUGUUUGGGAAUGCAGCUCAAAAUGGGUGGUGAGUUCCAUCUAAAGCUAAAUAUUGGCGAGAGACCGAUAGCGAACAAGUACCGUGAGGGAAAGAUGAAAAGCACUUUGGAAAGAGAGUUAAACAGUACGUGAAAUUGUUGAAAGGGAAACGAUUGAAGUCAGUCGUGACCGAGAGGCUCAGCCGGUUCUGCCGGUGUAUUCCCCUCGGUCGGGUCAACAUCAGUUUUGUCCGGUGGAUAAGGGCGGUAGGAAGGUGGCACCCUCGGGUGUGUUAUAGCCUGCCGUCGCAUACAUCGGGUGAGACUGAGGAACGCAGCUCGCCUUUAUGGCCGGGGUUCGCCCACGUCCGAGCUUAGGAUGUUGACAUAAUGGCUUUAAACGACCCGUCUUGAA
This 571-nucleotide ribosomal RNA is filed under the name Papiliotrema laurentii. Its description in RNAcentral is "LSU rRNA". It matches the Rfam family "Eukaryotic large subunit ribosomal RNA", at positions 98 to 658 of the family's 3401-position model. The record is from RNAcentral. Lineage: Eukaryota; Fungi; Basidiomycota; Tremellomycetes; Tremellales; Rhynchogastremaceae.